Molecule: ribosomal RNA, 245 nt
Filed under: uncultured bacterium
Lineage: Bacteria
Description: partial 16S ribosomal RNA
Rfam family: Bacterial small subunit ribosomal RNA
Source: RNAcentral
UACGUAGGGGGCCAGCGUUGUCCGGAGUUACUGGGCGUAAAGCGCCCGCAGGCGGUCGUGUGCGUGGCGGGUGACAGUCCCCGGCUUAACUGAGGAAGCGCUUGCCAAACGGCAUGACUUGAGGACCAGAGAGGGAGACGGAACUCCGGGUGGAGCGGUGAAAUGCGUAGAGAUCCGGAAGAACACCAAAGGCGUAGGCAGUCUCCUGGCUGGUAUCUGACGCUCAGGGGCGAAAGCUAGGGGAG